This 462-nucleotide ribosomal RNA is filed under the name uncultured bacterium. Its description in RNAcentral is "partial 16S ribosomal RNA". It matches the Rfam family "Bacterial small subunit ribosomal RNA", at positions 28 to 507 of the family's 1533-position model. The record is from RNAcentral.
GACGAACGCUGGCGGCGUGCUUAACACAUGCGAGUCGAACGGAAAGGCCCUUCUGGGUACUCGAGUGGCGAACGGGUGAGUAACACGUGGGUGAUCUGCCCUGCACUUUGGGAUAAGCCUGGGAAACUGGGUCUAAUACCGAAUAGGACCACGCGCUUCAUGGUGUGUGGUGGAAAGCUUUUGCGGUGUGGGAUGGGCCCGCGGCCUAUCAGCUUGUUGGUGGGGUAAUGGCCUACCAAGGCGACGACGGGUAGCCGGCCUGAGAGGGUGACCGGCCACACUGGGACUGAGAUACGGCCCAGACUCCUACGGGAGGCAGCAGUGGGGAAUAUUGCACAAUGGGCGCAAGCCUGAUGCAGCGACGCCGCGUGAGGGAUGACGGCCUUCGGGUUGUAAACCUCUUUCAAUAGGGACGAAGCGCAAGUGACGGUACCUACAGAAGAAGCACCGGCCAACUACGUG